AUGUGCCAACUCCUAAAAGAUCCAUGUAUCAACGAUUGAAUCCAGAAUUAACAAGGGAAAAACCCAAAUUGAGCUUUAUGUUGAUGUUAAAUAAAAAAGUGUGUAUUGCAUUUUCUCCCUGGACCAUGAAGAGAUUAUAAUAUACUCCUCUAGCCAGUCACCCUAACAAGGAAACAUUAAUACCAAAAAAAUCAUCCUAGCAGACACCAAUUAUCUGUGUAAGGCUAUCACAGACUCAAAAUGCAACAAAAUCCAUGAAGCACUACUAGCAACUUUCAUUAGGAUGCUUGAUCAAGUUUGCAGAGCAUAGAAUGCUAAUCAAUUAAGUGAAUAAACCAGG
Molecule: unclassified non-coding RNA, 340 nt
Filed under: Hevea brasiliensis (rubber tree)
Lineage: Eukaryota; Viridiplantae; Streptophyta; Magnoliopsida; Malpighiales; Euphorbiaceae
Source: RNAcentral